GGGUUAGUGGUCUAGCGGUUUACGAUUCUCGCUUUGGGUGCGAGAGGCCCCGGGUUCGAAUCCCGGCUGACUCC
RNAcentral lists this transfer RNA (74 nucleotides) under Microbotryum lychnidis-dioicae p1A1 Lamole. RNAcentral describes it as "tRNA-Pro (TGG) (tRNA-Pro-TGG-1-1)". It matches the Rfam family "tRNA". Rfam says of the family: Transfer RNA (tRNA) molecules are approximately 80 nucleotides in length. Their secondary structure includes four short double-helical elements and three loops (D, anti-codon, and T loops). The record is from RNAcentral. Lineage: Eukaryota; Fungi; Basidiomycota; Microbotryomycetes; Microbotryales; Microbotryaceae.